Molecule: long non-coding RNA, 2040 nt
Organism: Lathyrus oleraceus (garden pea)
Lineage: Eukaryota; Viridiplantae; Streptophyta; Magnoliopsida; Fabales; Fabaceae
Exons: 3
Source: RefSeq, a predicted model, not a curated record
UCAAUGAGGAUUCAAAAUGCUUUUCCAUAUUCCAAGUAUACUCUUCAUGAGCAUUAAAUGGAAGAAUAAUGGGCUUUGAGAAGACAAACGUAAAACCUUUUAAAAAUCCAAUGCUAAUGUUCAUUAAUAACCUAAAAAAAAAAAAAAAAAGGAAUUUCCAUAGUAUUUGAUAAAUCCUCUAUAUUUUCUCAGUCUUUACCGAAUCUGCUUAUUCUCUUCUCUUAACCUUGUUUUUUUCUUCCUCUGUUCAGCCUCAACAUUGAAGCAAACAGGGUAGUAGCGACAUAAAUCCACGACGGCACCUCUAUACAACCAGGGCGGCGCCGUCGCGAGUACUUAAAACCAACAUCAAAACUCCUAACCAAACAAUCGUUCCUAAACCCAAAUCUAAACAAACAGCAAAAUCCAAAGAGCCAGAUUCGGAAAACAAACACAAUCAGAAACCUGAGUUUUCAGCUUAAAAUCAAAACCAUGGUAACAACAAUUUUAUGCAAUAAUCAUGGGGUUUGCGUUCUAUGAGGCGGUAUAAACAAGGCGGUUACAUCAAAUCACGCAAAGGGAAAUAUUAAAUACCAAAUCGGAGCUAGUCCGACGUUUCAACUCCGGCAAGGUGAGGUAAAUGAUCCUUAGCGUCCUUCAAGGUCCUUUCUUCCUCUCGAACUUUCCGUCUUCUUCGCUUCCUCUUUAACGAUUUGGGUUUGUUUCGGUUUUGACAGGGGCUUAGCUCGAGCUUGUUGAGCUUCGGUGUGAAAAUCUCAACAAGUUCAAAAUGGAGCUUUUUAAUGAGGGUUUUGGAAUGAUUUCUCCAGAGUAACGGCGCAAAAAUUCGGAUCCCUUUUCAGUGGAUUUCACUCCCUUCUUAUAGAGGUGGUACGAGGUUUAUACGUCCUUAUCCUUCAUGAGCUGACAAAUCUAUUCAGAAUCAUUCCGUUAGAGAGGAAUUUUUGGGCUGGAUUUGGUGGGGACCAAGGUAUGUGAGUCAUUUCCUCAAUUUGUCUGUAGCGAAAUCCACCAAAAAGUGUGGUCCUGUAUUAGCUCUAUUUUACUGAUGUGGAAUACUCAUGUAUUGUGGUUAAAAAUCCUAUUUUUUACCGUCCUGUCUUGAACUUGCAUUGUGUAUUGUUUAUUGUUGCAUUUCCUUGGCUGAAAAGGCUUGUGCUUCUUCUGUUUUGACUCUGUUUUUUCGCUGCUGUAGCAGCUUCAUCCUUGGACUCUCAUUCAGUAACUUGCGAUUCAUGCACACGUGAUUAGUUUUUCUCAAUUUCUGCAGGCUGCAAUAUGCUCCUUAGGAUAUGGAAACAAAGCGUACAAGGAGUUGUCGUGGUUAACGGGCAUGCUGCUUAGAUCUCGAGUAAUUUCUUUUGUAAUGCCAACAUGUCUUUAGAUCACAGGUCUCGUUACGGCUGAUGCAUUGCCUAGUUCUUCACGUUGCAGGUUGGGUUUUACAGUUAGGCCUGCUAAUUUUAUCGAUCCUGCUGUCUUGCUGAAGAUUUCCUCACCCAUUGGCUUGUAUAUCAGGUCCUGCAGCAGGUUGUAUACAUGUCGGCAAUGCGAUUAGAGAGUGAUUUGCAAACCCGGAGAUGGCUCAAAUAUCGGCUUUGCUUUAUUUCCUCUUGUGCAGCAGGCACAAUACUGAAGAUGACGAUGUAUCGAUUUAAAUGCCGUGAAUUGCUGCUGAUUCAUGUUUCUGUUGUUUCCAUCAUUGCUAUUUUGGUCACAGCUUUGGAGCUUUGGGGAAUCAUAUGGGGGACACCGUUGAAACUCUUUAUUCGAUUUACAAAUGCCUUUAUCUUCGAGUUGCAUUGGCUACCAUUUGGCGUCAUUGUGAUGUCUUCAUUUGCAGCCAACUCAAUGUUGCGGCUUUGCUUGGAACACUACCGUUAGCAAUUCUGGUUUACUAUACCGUUAUGCUAUUUGCUUGGCCACUCUGCGGUUUUGGAAUGUUGCUGUGUUUGUAUGAACAUGCUGUAUUGUAUGAACAUGUGAUAUUAUUAGCUAUUGUGUUAGCAUUUGAAUGAAAUUUUGUCAUGGUAACAAUUA